UCGGGUUGGGAGAUCCCGAGCCUGAGGCGAGCGUGGGCGGCACACACCUUCCCUUCCACUUUCAUCACCCCAGGGGUCAGGGAUCCGUCAAGGGCCAACGGAUGUUUCCUCCUUCCUCUGUAGCAGUCCCAGAGUCCUGACAUUGCCUAGCCAGAGUUUCUCGCGUCUGCCAGAGCAGCCGCUCCUCUAUCCAGGGCACUCAGAUUCCCAAGGAAACCCCCCUGAGGAGUUAGCAACCACCUACUAGUAGGUUUCGGUCCCAGGAUACUAAAGGUCAGGUAAAAAUGGGGAAAUGGGGGGAGGGUGUCUCUGAAAAGUACGUUGAUAAAACACCUAUUGUUGACUGAGUGUAUAUUACAUUGGAUUAAUGGAAUACGGCCUACUUAAACCUGGCUAUGGUUCCACCAUUAGUGGCUGUUGGCAAGCUGCCUCUGAAAAAUGAGGAUAAUAAAGGUUGAUUACUGCUCAGGGUUGCUCUGAGGUUUAAAUGCUAUAAUGCAUGUGAAAUGCUUAGUAUGGUACCUGAAAGUACUCAGUGUUAGAUAUUAUUACAUGGACAAAUGAAGUAAAAAAUAUGACCCGAAAAGACUUCAGGUCAACUUUCCUGAAUUGUGCAGAAAUAGGCAUCAAUCGCUUUUACUAACCAGGUUUACAGCUCUAUAUCCUGUCUCCACUUCUUCCAUUGUACUCAAUCAACAGAUUCACUGAAACUCGAACUGAGGGGACACAGUGGUGAGGGAAACAAACUGUCUGGCUUCUUGGGGCUGACAGUCUAGUGGGAAAAAGAGGGACAAAUAUUUCAUCACAUUUUCAGGGAAGCAUGCUAUAAAGGUUAUGAACAAAAUUUUGGAAAAGCAGAUACCAGGAUAGCUUUGAAAAAACUGGUCAGGAAAGGCCCAUCCGAGGGAUAAGGAGCCAAUAAUGAAAGAAAUGCCCUGGGGAAUUAUUUAAGAUAGAGGAAAUGGCUGUGCAAAGGACCUGUGGUAGGAAAGAACUUGGCUGUUGGAAUUGAGGGGAGUCUAUGGUGCAAGGAGGAGCCUGUCCUGAGAUUGGAGAGAUUGCUUCAGAGCUGCUGUCUCCUGGGCUUGGACAACGUGUCAGCAUCCGUCUUUGUCAUCACAAUCCCGGUGUUGCCCUGGGUGCUGGGUGCCUUGCAGAGCCAGCAGGCCAGCCCCAGGCAUGCCCUCUGGGUAUUUUGGCAGAAGACUGAAGGGGAACUAGAGAGACUGUUCAGAAUUAGACAAUAAAGAUAAAAGAGGGGCAGAAUCAGGCAAAGUGUUUUCAUUGGAAUCUUCCACUUUUAUGCUGAGAAGCAGGCAAGGCAAAAACUCUGGAUUCAGUUUGCAGGUGAGGAAACAGAGACCCAGAGAAAAGACACUAAUUGCCGGAAAACAUUCAGUGAUCAUGUGACAUUUGUCCUGGUGUUGACCUAUUCACAGAAGCAGGUAACAAAAUUCUGUUCUCUAGAAAGCAACAAUUGUAAUCUCUGUCACCAGAGAAUCCCAUACAAGGCCCCCGCCCCUUGACUAAGAAGAAAUGUUUUUGUCCUGCUUUCUCAUCCUUUUUCCAGCUGAGUCUGUAAAUACCUGCUACUCAGACACUCAGAAUAUUUCAGUGGCUCCAGAUUUUAAUCUGACCUUUGCACAGCCAUUUGCCUAUACUGUCAUGCCUGUAAUUAUAUAACUGCUUUAUUUUAAUGCCUGUAAAUAGGAGCUCAGUCAUCUAAGAAAAGUUCAGGAAAAGCAGAACCAUAGAACUAAAACUCAGUAAAACCAUUUCCCAUCUUAGUUCCCUAGCAUCCAUGAGGAUUCAGGUUCGAUCCCUGGUCUUGCUCAGUGGGUUGAGUAUGUGGCCUUGCCGUGAGCUGUGGUGUAGGUCGAAGAUGCAGCUUGGUUCCCGAGUUGCUGUGGCUGUGGUGUAGGUCGGCAGCCACAGCUCCGAUUUGACCCCUAGCCUGGGAACCUCCAUAUGCUGUGAGUGUGGCCCUAAAAAAAAAUACAAAAAAAAAAAAAAAUUCUCAAGUUCUUGUUGUGACUUCGAGGGUUAAGACCUGAUGUAGUGUCUGUGGGGAUGUGAGUUUGAUCCCUGGCUUUGCCAGUGGGCUAAGAAUCCAGUGCUGUGGUGCAGGUCAGAUCUGGUGUUGCCAUGGCUGUGCAUGAUUCGACCCCCAUCCUGGAAACUUCCAUAUGCCACAGGUCCAUCCAGCUGUAAAAAGAAAAAGAAAAAAAAAAUUUCUCUACAGCUUGAUUGAGGUAAAAUUGAUGUAUGAUAAAGUGCACUAUUUAAAGUGUACAGUUUAAUGAAUUUUAAUGUGUGUAUAUGCCUAUGAAACCACUACAGUCAAGAUCAGAGAUGGCUUUUCCAUCUCAGAGUCUAAAAGGGUGUGUGCUCCCAGUUCAAAACUAACUGGUAACAAAGUGAGACCUGGAGUUCCCGUCAUGGCUCAGCAGAAAUGAACCUGACUAGCAUCCAUGAGGCCACAGGUUCAAUUCCUGGCCUCGUUCAGUGGAUUAAGUAUCCGGUGUUGCCGUGAGCUGUGGUGUAGGUUGCAGAUGUGGCUUAGAUCUGGUGUUGCUGUGGCUGUGGCAUAGGCUGGCAGCUGUAGCUUCAAUUUGACCCCUAGCCUGGGAACCUCCAUAUGGCACAGGUGUGGCCCUAAAAGACUAAAAAAAAAGAAAGUGUGCCUUCCUCUUCUGAGUAACAAUACUGGCCCCUGCAGGGCCAUCUUUAUUUCAAUCUCUGUUAUCAUUGAAGAGGCAGCUCUCCAUUUGACCUCUAUGUGGCUUUUCCUUCUUGCCCACAGUUACAACAUUCUCUUUUCAGUUUCAGGUCCCUUUUUCUGCUAAAUCAUCCACUUCUUAUCUACAAGCCCCCUUUCAAUCUUAAAAAUGAACAAAAGCAAAACAAAAAAGUCAAUACUUCUUCCUGCCUCCUCCUCAUUCCUCCCUUCAGUCACUCAUGGCUCCCUCUCCUGCCCCCUAGUUAGUUCAUGGCCACACUUCCAGAAAUAGUUGCUCAUAUUCACUCUCUCCACAUCCUCACUUCCUCCUCUCCCUCAAAGCCACCCCGCCCCCUUGCUGCACAGAUACCUUUCUUGGCCAGGUCACUCACUAACCUCCCUGUUGUUGCUACAUCCCAUGAACCCAUCUCAGUCCUUAUCAUACUCUGACACCAUUGACCACUGUGUCCUUUGGUUGGUUGUUUUUACAAAAGUAACAGAUGCACUUUUUUUUUUUUUUUUUUAAGAGUCAAAUACUGAAUAAAAACAUUAAGACUCUCCCCCUGCCGCCCUACUGCAGACAGAGCCACUGUCACAAGAACCCUCAGCUACUAGACAGCCACCCCAGGUAGCUGCCCAAAGCAUAGCAUAGCCUCAGGAAGUCCCAGAAAUUAGUCCCUGUAGACUUCUAACUUGGGAAAAAUCUCUUACUUGCCCUAUCAUAAACACCAGAGAAGCUAAGAAAUGUUUAUAAACAAACACACAAAGAAAAAGAGAAGAAAGUGCAUAUAGUAACUCUCCAACUCUGGUUUCAAUAUGUCUUAAAGGUGACAUGGUGGCAGGGUCUGCAUGACUCAUCCCUGUCGGUCUCUCCAGGCAGGAAGCCUUUCUGGCCCUGGUUUUCCUGAUAGCAGCCCUUUGUUUUCCCCUUAUCCUUGGGAGAAUGAUAGGAAUGAAGAAUAUAGGGCCCCCGGGACCUUGUGAGGCUGACCUAGCAGCCAUCAAGGUUUAUAGUCUUGUAGACAAAUACACAAAAAUGGGUUUUUUAUGACCAGUGUUUUUUACCCAAGAUAAAGUACAAAGCAGGACAUAAGAAUCACCCACCCAAAUCUCACCAACCAGAAUAGCACCAUAACAGUUUUGGUGAGCAUAUUUAAAUGUGUCUCUAUUCUGUGUAUACACUUAGAGGUAUAUAUACAGUUUCACAUACAUGGGAUCAUGAUUUACAAGUUAUUCUGUAACUACUGUUUUCACUCGGAACAUGCAAUGGAUAGCUUUCCAGGUCAAUAACUAUAGACUAACACUGUGAUUGCUACUGCUCGCCUGCCAUUCAGAAUAUUUACGAGCCAUGAUUUACUCACCCAGCCUCUUAUUGUUGGGCAGUUAGGUGGUUCGCAUUUUUUGAUAUCAUAUACUACACAGUGAUAAACAUUCUGUGUUCAGCUUUUAGCUUUUGUACAAUUUUCUCCUCAGGCUAAUUUGUAGAAGUGGACUAGCUCCAUACAAUGGUGUGUACAUUUCACAUUUUGACACAGUUAGGCUAACUUCCUUCCAGAAAUGUUAUGCCAAUUUAUUUUCCCACCAACACUGAAUUUAAAAGCAUCUUUUCCCCGCGUGCGGCGUGUCUCGCCGCGCGUCCGGACCGGGGUCCGGUGCGGAGAGCCUUUUGACCUGGGAAACGGGGCGCGGCGGGAAAGCAAGGCCGCCCCCUCGGCCGCCCGUCACGCACCGCACAUUCGUGGGGAACCUGGUGCUAAACCGUUCGCAGACGACCUGCUUCUGGGUCGGGGUUUCCUACAUAGCAGAGCAGCUCCCUCGCUACGAUCUAUUGAAAGUCAGCUCUCGACACAAGGGUUUGU
Molecule: long non-coding RNA, 4578 nt
Filed under: Sus scrofa (pig)
Lineage: Eukaryota; Metazoa; Chordata; Mammalia; Artiodactyla; Suidae
Description: lncRNA (ENSSSCG00025027412.1)
Source: RNAcentral